CUGAGCUCGUGCCCCUCGUGGGUCGACCUCCCACCCUGUGUGAUCGCUACCGCGUUGCUUUGGCGGGCCGCCGGGCGCGACCCGGCCGCUGGCUCUGCUAGCGAGCGCCCGCCAGAGACCCCCCAAUCCUGAGUAUGCGUGUCGUCUGAGUACUAUACAAUAGUUA
This 166-nucleotide unclassified non-coding RNA is filed under the name uncultured Ascomycota. RNAcentral's name for it is "sequence contains ITS1". Lineage: Eukaryota; Fungi; Ascomycota. The record is from RNAcentral.